UACGUAGGGUGCAAGCAUUAAUCGGAUUUAUUGGGCGUAAAGGGUGCGUAGGCGGUCGUGCAAGUCGGAUGUGAAAUCUCAGGGCUCAACCCUGAAACUGCAUUCGAUACUGCGCGGCUAGAGUGCUGGAGGGGAGACUGGAAUUUACGGUGUAGCAGUGAAAUGCGUAGAUAUCGUAAGGAAGACCAGUGGCGAAGGCGAGUCUCUGGACAGCAACUGACGCUGAGGCACGAAGGCCAGGGGAGCAAACGGG
Molecule: ribosomal RNA, 253 nt
Filed under: uncultured bacterium
Lineage: Bacteria
Description: partial 16S ribosomal RNA
Rfam family: Bacterial small subunit ribosomal RNA
Source: RNAcentral